RNAcentral lists this ribosomal RNA (161 nucleotides) under uncultured bacterium. Its description in RNAcentral is "partial 16S rRNA". It matches the Rfam family "Bacterial small subunit ribosomal RNA", at positions 358 to 511 of the family's 1533-position model. The record is from RNAcentral.
GGAAUCUUCCACAAUGGACGAAAGUCUGAUGGAGCAACGCCGCGUGAGUGAAGAAGGUCUUCGGAUCGUAAAGCUCUGUUGUUGGUGAAGAAGGAUAGAGGCAGUAACUGGUCUUUAUUUGACGGUAAUCAACCAGAAAGUCACGGCUAACUACGUGCCAG